CGGUGGUAACUAUAACCAUCCUAAGGUAGCGAAAUUCCUUGUCGGGUAAGUUCCGACCUGCACGAAUGGCGUAACGACUUCCCAGCUGUCUCAACCGCGAACUCGGCGAAAUUGCAUUACGAGUAAAGAUGCUCGUUACGCGCAGCAGGACGGAAAGACCCCGUGACCUUUACUACAGCUUGGUAUUGGUGUUCGGUGUGGCUUGUGUAGGAUAGGUGGGAGACUGUGAAGCUUGGACGCUAGUUCAGGUGGAGUCAUUGUUGAAAUACCACUCUGGUCAUAUUGGAUACCUAACUUCGAACCGUGAUCCGGUUCAGGGACAGUGCCUGGUGGGUAGUUUAACUGGGGCGGUUGCCUCCUAAAAAGUAACGGAGGCGCCCAAAGGUUCCCUCAACCUGGUUGGUAAUCAGGUGUCGAGUGUAAGUGCACAAGGGAGCUUGACUGUAAGACUGACAAGUCGAGCAGGGACGAAAGUCGGGACUAGUGAUCCGGCAGUGGCUUGUGGAAGCGCUGUCGCUCAACGGAUAAAAGGUACCUCGGGGAUAACAGGCUGAUCUUGCCCAAGAGUCCAUAUCGACGGCAUGGUUUGGCACCUCGAUGUCGGCUCGUCGCAUCCUGGGGCUGGAGUAGGUCCCAAGGGUUGGGCUGUUCGCCCAUUAAAGCGGUACGCGAGCUGGGUUUAGAACGUCGUGAGACAGUUCGGUCCCUAUCCGCUGCGCGCGCAGGAAAUUUGAGAAGAUCUAUCCCUAGUACGAGAGGACCGGGAUGGACGAACCUCUGGUGUGUCAGUUGUUCCGCCAGGAGCACCGCUGAUUAGCUACGUUCGGAACGGAUAACCGCUGAAAGCAUCUAAGCGGGAAGCCGGCUUCGAGAUGAGAUUUCCAUCCCUUCGGGGGAGAGGCUCGCAGCUAGACUACUGCGUUGAUAGGCCGGAUGUGGAAGUGGGGACUAAAGACCCAUGGAGCUGACCGGUACUAAUAAGCCGAUAAUUUGAUAAC
RNAcentral lists this ribosomal RNA (998 nucleotides) under Cryobacterium sp. N21. Its description in RNAcentral is "bacterial LSU rRNA". It matches the Rfam family "Bacterial large subunit ribosomal RNA", at positions 1931 to 2925 of the family's 2925-position model. Lineage: Bacteria; Bacillati; Actinomycetota; Actinomycetes; Micrococcales; Microbacteriaceae. The record is from RNAcentral.